RNAcentral lists this ribosomal RNA (254 nucleotides) under uncultured bacterium. RNAcentral describes it as "partial 16S ribosomal RNA". It matches the Rfam family "Bacterial small subunit ribosomal RNA", at positions 524 to 776 of the family's 1533-position model. The record is from RNAcentral.
UACGGAGGGUGCAAGCGUUGUCCGGAUUUAUUGGGUUUAAAGGGUGCGUAGGCGGUUCUUUUAAGUCUGGGGUGAAAGCCCGUUGCUCAACAACGGAACUGCCCUGGAAACUGGAGGACUUGAGUACAGACGAGGGUGGCGGAAUGGAUGCUGUAGCGGUGAAAUGCAUAGAUAGCAUCCAGAACCCCGAUUGCGAAGGCAGCUGCCUAGACUGUAACUGACGCUGAGGCACGAAAGCGUGGGGAGCGAACAGG